GUGCGUGGCUAGGUAAACCCCACUCGGAGCAAGACGAAAUAGGAAUCCAUUGGCGCGGCCCGCGUUGGAUUCGGGUAGGUCGCUUGAGGCGUACAGUGAUGUGCGUCCCAGAGGAAUGGCUGUCCUCGACAGAACCCGGCUUAUAGAUCGACUCUCCCA
RNAcentral lists this RNase P RNA (159 nucleotides) under Pseudomonas aeruginosa. RNAcentral describes it as "partial RNase P RNA component class A". It matches the Rfam family "Bacterial RNase P class A", at positions 194 to 367 of the family's 367-position model. Rfam says of the family: Ribonuclease P (RNase P) is a ubiquitous endoribonuclease, found in archaea, bacteria and eukarya as well as chloroplasts and mitochondria. Its best characterised activity is the generation of mature 5'-ends of tRNAs by cleaving the 5'-leader elements of precursor-tRNAs. The record is from RNAcentral. Lineage: Bacteria; Pseudomonadati; Pseudomonadota; Gammaproteobacteria; Pseudomonadales; Pseudomonadaceae.